AUGGCUUUUGUGCAACGUCGAAAGGGUCCUCAUGUAGUGGGAUCAUUCAGAUUGUUACAACCUCUAGCAGAUGGUUUGAAAUUGAUUCUAAAAGAACCUAUUUCACCAAGUAGUGCUAAUUUCUCCCUUUUUAGAAUGGCUCCAGUGGCUACAUUUAUGUUAAGUCUGGUCGCUUGGGCCGUUGUACCUUUUGAUUAUGGUAUGGUAUUGUCAGAUCCGAACAUAGGGCUACUUUAUUUGUUUGCCAUAUCUUCGCUAGGUGUUUAUGGAAUAAUUAUAGCAGGUUGGUCUAGUAAGACGGGGGGUGGCGGUUCGGUCGCCUAUGAUAUACGGACCAAUUGGUCCAAAAUGGGGCUAGGGCUCAUAAACCCUUUCUUUCAUUCAUCAAGGGGUCGGUCACUUUUCCGAGCCGGGAUCGAGAAGUGGAAGUCAUAA
RNAcentral lists this ribosomal RNA (435 nucleotides) under Triticum aestivum (bread wheat). RNAcentral's name for it is "partial small subunit ribosomal RNA". Lineage: Eukaryota; Viridiplantae; Streptophyta; Magnoliopsida; Poales; Poaceae. The record is from RNAcentral.